CCCGACCCCGGGGUCGCGCCUAGGGUACAAGACCGGGAACAGCAACGGCUGGCGGGAACGACCAAGAGCCCAGCGCAAUCCGCAAUCUGGCUUUGCUGGACGAAGCCAAAAGCCGAACCCACACUGGGACAGUGAAGGAUGAUAAUGGGAACAGGACGUCAAGGACGCUUCCAGCACGGAAGGAGUAUUUCUAUUUACCAAGAGCCCUAAAGAAUGUUGACCAUGAAGACAGGCAUCCUGUGACUGUCCACUAAAAAGUGACCAUCACAAGAUAAUGAUCGUGGGACUGAAAGAUGUUUCCCUGCUCCCAGCCCCUCACCCUUUGGAAAAGUGCCUUUAUAAGCUGCACAUGUUGGGGGGGGGGGUGGCAACAUUCCUCUUUCUUGUUGGCUCCCCUGAGAUAGUACAAGCUAUCUCUAAUAAACUCUGCCUGUUUUCUUU
Long non-coding RNA from Panthera uncia (snow leopard), 441 nucleotides. RefSeq lists it as uncharacterized. The record is from RefSeq and is a predicted model, not a curated record. The transcript is spliced from 3 exons. NCBI's taxonomy places the organism in Eukaryota, Metazoa, Chordata, Mammalia, Carnivora, Felidae.